AGAGUUUGAUCAUGGCUCAGGAUGAACGCUAGCGGCAGGCUUAAUACAUGCAAGUCGAACGGCAGCACAGUGGAGCUUGCUCCAUGGGUGGCGAGUGGCGGACGGGUGAGUAAUGCAUCGGGACCUGCCCAGACGUGGGGGAUAACGUAGGGAAACUUACGCUAAUACCGCAUACGUCCUACGGGAGAAAGCGGGGGAUCUUCGGACCUCGCGCGGUUGGAUGGACCGAUGUUCGAUUAGCUAGUUGGUGAGGUAAUGGCUCACCAGGCGACGAUCGAUAGCUGGUCUGAGAGGAUGAUCAGCC
This 304-nucleotide ribosomal RNA is filed under the name uncultured bacterium. RNAcentral's name for it is "bacterial SSU rRNA". It matches the Rfam family "Bacterial small subunit ribosomal RNA", at positions 8 to 309 of the family's 1533-position model. The record is from RNAcentral.